GUGCCAGCAGCCGCGGUAAUACGUAGGGUGCGAGCGUUAAUCGGAAUUACUGGGCGUAAAGCGUGCGCAGGCGGUUUCGUAAGACAGAGGUGAAAUCCCCGGGCUCAACCUGGGAACUGCCUUUGUGACUGCGAGGCUAGAGUACGGCAGAGGGGGGUGGAAUUCCACGUGUAGCAGUGAAAUGCGUAGAGAUGUGGAGGAACACCGAUGGCGAAGGCAGCCCCCUGGGCCGAUACUGACGCUCAUGCACGAAAGCGUGGGUAGCAAACAGGAUUAGAUACCCUGGUAGUCC
Molecule: ribosomal RNA, 292 nt
Filed under: uncultured microorganism
Description: partial 16S ribosomal RNA
Rfam family: Bacterial small subunit ribosomal RNA
Source: RNAcentral